This 453-nucleotide ribosomal RNA is filed under the name uncultured bacterium. Its description in RNAcentral is "bacterial SSU rRNA". It matches the Rfam family "Bacterial small subunit ribosomal RNA", at positions 340 to 786 of the family's 1533-position model. The record is from RNAcentral.
UACGGAAGGCAGCAGUGGGGAAUAUUGCACAAUGGGCGCAAGCCUGAUGCAGCCAUGCCGCGUGUACGAAGAAGGCCUUCGGGUUGUAAAGUACUUUCAGUCGUGAGGAAGGUGUUAAGGUUAAUAACCUUAGCAAUUGACGUUAGCGACAGAAGAAGCACCGGCUAACUCCGUGCCAGCAGCCGCGGUAAUACGGAGGGUGCGAGCGUUAAUCGGAAUUACUGGGCGUAAAGGGCACGCAGGCGGUUAAUUAAGUUGGAUGUGAAAUCCCCGGGCUUAACCUGGGAAUGGCAUUCAAGACUGGUUAGCUAGAGUCUUGUAGAGGGGGGUAGAAUUCCAUGUGUAGCGGUGAAAUGCGUAGAGAUGUGGAGGAAUACCGGUGGCGAAGGCGGCCCCUGGACAAAGACUGACGCUCAUGUGCGAAAGCUGGGGAGCAAACAGGGAUUAGAUACC